Molecule: transfer RNA, 68 nt
Filed under: Glis glis (Fat dormouse)
Lineage: Eukaryota; Metazoa; Chordata; Mammalia; Rodentia; Gliridae
Description: tRNA-Trp
Rfam family: tRNA
About the family: Transfer RNA (tRNA) molecules are approximately 80 nucleotides in length. Their secondary structure includes four short double-helical elements and three loops (D, anti-codon, and T loops).
Source: RNAcentral
AGGAAUUUAGGUUAACCAGACCAAUAGCCUUCAAAGCUUUAAGCAAGUAAUCAAAUACUUAAUUCCUG